RNAcentral lists this long non-coding RNA (691 nucleotides) under Homo sapiens (human). RNAcentral's name for it is "non-protein coding lnc-RPS27A-1:19". Lineage: Eukaryota; Metazoa; Chordata; Mammalia; Primates; Hominidae. The record is from RNAcentral.
AGCCCUCAGCGUACAUGCCAGCUAAUUACAGAUGCAGGAGCAAACCCCUGGCCCAUACAUCAAUUUUAAUGUCAUUGAAUACAGAGAACAAAUCUCAUUCACUUUGGUAUCGGCUGGAGUCAACAAACAUUUAAAAAUCAUUUACUGCGUCUGAUUUUGGAUGAGGAAAUUAACUGAGAAAGAAGAUACAAGACCUGCCAAAUUCUUUUUUUUUGUUUUGUUUGAGACAGAGUCUCACUCUGUCGCCCAGGCUGUAGUGGCGCGAUCUCGACUCACUGCAACCUCCACCUCCUCGGUUCAAGCGAUUCUCCUGCCUCAGCCUCCUGAGUAGCUGGGCUUACAGGCAUGCGCCACCAUGCCCAGCUAAUUUUUGUAUUUUUAAUAGAGACGGGGUUUUGCCACACUGGCCAGGCUAGUCUCGAACCCCUGACCUCAGGUGAUCUACCCACCUUGGCCUCCCAAAGUGCUGGGAUUACAGAAGUGAGCCACUGUGCCCAGCCUGACCUGUCAAAUUCCUGUCAAACUCAACUUCAUGUAACACUGAACUGUAACUAUCAAGUUAGAAUAUUUUUUUCAUUUGUUUGCAUAUAUAUAGACUUCAUUAAUCUUAAUUUAGUGAUCUCAGUUAAGAAGCAAUCUGAAAUAUGUUUUGCUUUCACUUUUGGAAAAAAGUCUGAAAUAGAAGUAAAUA